CGGUCAGCUUGGCGGCAAGGUAGUCCAUCGGGUGCCGUUCGGUGGACUGUACGAAGUAGUCCGGAUAGCUGAUCAUGUCGGCUUCGGCCAU
This 91-nucleotide transfer RNA is filed under the name Palleronia abyssalis. Its description in RNAcentral is "tRNA-Gly". Lineage: Bacteria; Pseudomonadati; Pseudomonadota; Alphaproteobacteria; Rhodobacterales; Roseobacteraceae. The record is from RNAcentral.